GGCAUAGUGUAGUGUUGGGAGGGCAUAGUGUUGGGAGGGCAUAGUGUAGGGAGGGCAUAGUGUUGGGAGGGCAUAGUGUAUGGAGGGCAUAGUGUAGUGUUGGGAGGGCAUAGUGUAGUGUUGGGAGGGCAUAGUGUUGGGAGGGCAUAGUGUAGGGAGGGCAUAGUGUAGUGUAGGGAGGGCAUAGUGUUGGGAGGGCAUAGUGUAGGGAGGGCAUAGUGUUGGGAGGGCAUAGUGUAGUGUUGGGAGGGCAUAGUGUAGGGAGGGCAUUGUGUAGGGAGGGCAUAGUGUAGUGUUGGGAGGGCAUAGUGUUGGGAGGGCAUAGUGUAGUGUUGGGAGGGCAUAGUGUAGUGUUGGGAGGGCAUAGUGUUGGGAGGGCAUAGUGGUGUUGGGAGGGCAUAGUGUAGUGUUGGGAGGGCAUAGUGUAGUGUUGGGAGGGCAUAGUGUUGGGAGGGCAUAGUGUAGUGUUGGGAGGGCAUAGUGUAGGGAGGGCAUAGUGUAGUGUUGGGAGUGCAUAGUGUUGGGAGGGCAUAGUGUUGGGAGGGCAUAGUGUAGUGUAGGGAGGGCAUAGUGUAGGGAGGGCAUAGUGUAGUGGGGAGGGCAUAGUGUUGGGAGGGCAUAGUGUUGGGAGGGCAUAGUGUAGUGUAGGGAGGGCAUAAUGUAGGGAGGGCAUAGUGUUGGGAGGGCAUAGUGUUGGGAGGGCAUAGUGUAGGGAGGGCAUAGUGUAGGGCGGGCAUAGUGUAGGGCGGGCAUAGUGUAGUGUUGGGAGGGCAUAGUGUAUGGGAGGGCAUAGUGUAGUGGGGCGGGCAUAGUGUUGGGAGGGCAUAGUGUAGUUGGGAGGGCAUAGUGUUGGGAGGGCAUAGUGUAGGGAGGGCAUAGUGUUGGGAGGGCAUAGUGUAGGGGGAGGGCAUAGUGUAGGGAGGGCAUUGUGUAGGGAGGGCAUAGUGUAG
Molecule: long non-coding RNA, 950 nt
Filed under: Salmo salar (Atlantic salmon)
Lineage: Eukaryota; Metazoa; Chordata; Actinopteri; Salmoniformes; Salmonidae
Description: lncRNA (ENSSSAG00000084659.1)
Source: RNAcentral